UAUCAAUUAUUGUUCCACAUUUUUUCUGUCCUGUAUGGUUACUCACCUUUGCCUAUACCCAAAAGUUCCAAAUGUCAUCAACUCUAUGAUUGACAUCUCUCCCAUCAGCACCUUCCUAUCUAUUUCCACUCUCAUCAUCUGGGUCUUAAAUACUAACAGAGCUGUACUCAUAUCCACGUCUGCAUCCCCUCUCAUCUGUGUUAUUGCAGUUGCCUCCUAAUUGAUCCUUCCUCCUCCAGUCUGCAGCAGUCUUUCUUGUACACUGUCUGAUUCAUUUUCUUAAAGCAAUGUUUCUCAGUGAGGUUCUCCUGCUUCAAAACUUCCAGUGGCUCUUGAUUACCAGUAGAAUUAUGUCCAGGGGUUUCAGUUUGAUGCUGGAGAUUCUCCAUGAUCACAUCUUUUAUGUUGAGUUUCUCUUCUGAGUUUUGUUCAUUUCUCUCCCCCAGACCCUGUCGGCCCUUUGCAGCAACCCCAGGCAGGUUAUGAAUGAUCAGCUAGCUCAUCCUGAACCAAUGCUUUAAUUCAAGGGCAACACAGAUUAGGUUGUUUGGUUUAGUACUUCUGGCCUUCACUGCAUGAGAUGUAAGGUGAAGGAGGGAAAAAAUAUAACAGAGCAAAGAUGAGUGAUGUGAAAAGAUGUAGAUUUUUUAAAAAAUCACUCCACGUUGAAGCUAUCCUGAUGUAAACAAGAGUGCUGGGGAAGUCAUCCUCCACAGGCCAGAGGAGGGAGGUGUGGGCUCCCAGUGGGCCAUGCCUGUGACUUCAAAGAUACGAAUGUACCAGUUGGCAAUAAAUAUUUAUAAAAUGAGACAUAGGUAUUUAGACCAUUAGCCUGCCACAUAGUCCUUCUGCACAAUAAAACACAAAGCUUAAAUCAUGAUAAAAACAGGCAGAACAAAUAGUAGUGGACCUAAAUUGAGGCUCGGGUAAAUGUUCAGAUUUAUUUUAAAACACGGAUCUGUGCACAUGGGCAUUAUAUACAAAACAAGAUUUUCAAAUGGCCACAACUGUUUUGCAUUCAUCUCCCUUUGUUUCUUUUUUAUUUUUUACAAAAGGAAAAGGUUUUCUCUAAACUCAUGGUCUCUUUUCUUUUGUCUUAUAACACUUCAUCAUAUCCAAUAUGACUUGGGAUAUCUUUGCCUUGUCAAGUCAUGUGAUUCAUUUGGUUAAAUGAAAGAAAGAGGCACUUGACUCUCAGGAGGCACAUUUGUUUCAUCAAACCAAAUUUUUAAACUUUCUUCAAAGUGUAAGCUAAGCAAUUUCCAGCUAUCUGUCUAAUGUAGAGCCUUUCUUCUCCACAGAUCUUCCUUUAAAUUUACCUACCACAAUCACAAACCAAUAAGCUUCAGGAAUGAACAUACGCUGUUAAGUUCAUAGAAAGGUUUAGGUGAAAUGUAGGAUUUAUUCCAAAUUCUGGCCUUUCUGAAGUCCUUGCUGAUUAUAAACUAAUGGUUGCAUUAUCUUUACUUUGAGACCGUGGGAAACAACUAGAUAAUGAGACAAACUCACUUAAGUGAAGCAGCUAGUGCCUGACAGAGGUUUAAUGUGCUAUACCUUCCAAAUGAAAGAGACUGCCUUCCCAGGCACCCUCAGCAUCUCUACCUCUGAGGCAUGGCUGCAGAUUGGGGGGUCUCCCAGUCUGUGGCACUGUCCAAACCCUGUCACUGAGACCACCUUUGUAAAAAUUAUGACAGUGAGAAAAUUUUGACCGUGAAAGAGAUCUGCCAUAACUAACUCUAUCUUACCUUUAACCUCCAAAUUUCCCUUGGUCAUUUCUGAGUGUGGGACAAACUAAUUUUGGGAGAAAUUUAGUUUAUACUUUAAAUGACAAUUGUUCUUCCCCAAACUAAACUUCCUUUAUAAAACUAAUAAAAGACCAAAAGUUUAGGAGGAUGAGAGGGGCCUGAAUUCUGCUAAGAUGUUGGUGGAUUACCAGCCAUUGUUAUGGAGGUCAUGAGAUUUUUUAACUUCUCCAAGUACUCCUAUAAAUAACAUCACUAUUGUAUUAGGUUGGUGCAAAAAUAGUUGUGAUUUUUGCCAUAAUGGCUAAAACCACAAUUACUUUUGCACUUAUCUAAUAGAGCCUAAGACUGGCCUUUUGAGAUGUCUUUUCAGACUGUGGAUUUCUGAUGACUGGAUGGCUCCACUCAGACCCAUGACUCAUGACAACCAUUUUUCACACCCCUACCAAUCAGCAGCACCCAUUCUCUAGCCCCUGCCCACCAAACUAUCUUUAAAAACCUCUAGCCUUCACAUUUCUAGAGAGGCUGAUCUGAGUAAUAAUACAACGGCAGUCUCCUGUUUAACCAUCUCUACAUGUAUUAAACUCUUUCUCUAUUGCAAUUCUCUUGUCUUAAUAAAUCAGCUGUAUCUGGGAAGUGGCAGAGAAGAACCCAUCAGGCAGUUACAUCAUUUCAGCAAGGACUUUAAUGGAUAGAUGUGGGGAUUCUGGAGUAUAAGCUCCAGAAUCACAGGAUAUGGCAUGGGAAAAUGAACAUACAGCUUAGAGUUUAGUGGUAAAAGAUUGAGUUUCACUUAAAUGAACUUGAACCAGUGAUUUGGAAUUUCUGGCCUUUAGUUCUCUCACUUAUAAAAUGGGAACAAUAAUGAGUUCUCAGUGUUUUUGUGAGGAUUCACUGUGGAAGGUCUAUGCCCUCUUCUCCCUGCUGCUCUCAUUGCAGGAAGGAACAGCUUCAGCCAUAGGUGACAGUGGCACACAUCUCACUGAAGACAGAGAAGGACAAGUUGAAAACAUGGAUUUUUGUGUUGUACCAUGUCUUAUGAUGGUAUCAUUCAACAAUUUUUAAAAUUAGAUUUUGGAAAACAUUUUUUUAUCUUCUACCUCAUUGUAUUCUUUCAACCGCCAAGUGAAGCCAGGUAAAAGAAUUAUGCUCGCCAGCAAAAAAUGAGAUACACAUGCAAGAAUUGUCCACAGCCACAUUGCUAUUUUGUUUAGAAGCCUGUCAAGAAACUUCUUCAUGUACUCCUUUAUGUAAUUCAAUAGAAUUACAAAUUCUACUGGCAAAGCCCCUUUCAAUUGAAUAAGAGGAAUUAAGAAAUUUCCAGGCAAGAAACCUUUGAUGGUGGCAUCCAUUAAAAGUUUUAGGGAUGCAAGAAGUUUUCCAUAAAUAAACUUAUUAUUUUUAAUUUUCAGUUGAGCCUAGCUUAAAAAAUCUUUGUAAGAGAACAUGAAAGAAGAAUAAGUCUAGUUUCGAUACAUUUUAUGUUUGACCAGAAGGGCUCCUCAGUUCAAUUACUUUGUUUCCAGGUCAGAAUUUCCAGGUCAGGCUGAUUGUGGCACCCAUCAAUCAAUAUUUGUAGCCCUAAUCUGAAGCUCACUGGAUACCAUUUUCAUACAUUGACAAUGGGUAAUUGUAACAUCUUGAAAAUGUAUAUUUUAAAGAUGAGUAUGAUUGAAAUCUCUUCCAUUUCUAUUUCUCCUUCCUGCAGUACUUUAAGCCUCACUGCCAAUUUACAGAGCACAGAAUAAAACAGAAGAGAAUAAAAUGAUAUGGGUUGCAGCUUCCCAGUUGUAACGAGCAAAAGGAUAGGAGCCUCAGACUCUUAGUUCUGAACCCUGCCUGGGUUCCUCCCCAGCUCUGUGACUUUGACCAAGUUAUUUGAUGUCAUGAGCUUCAAUUUCCUCAUAUACAAGUAGAAAACACUUGAAAUUUCAACAAUGUACAGCAGGUUGUCAGAUUUAGCAGGUAUCCAAAGGAAUUGUGAAACUUCACUGAAGCGAAUGCUCUGUUCUUUUAUCCAUGAGGGGCCAUUUCUGGUGACCUACUUAUACAUUUGGGAUGUGUUAUAGAAUGAAUGCCAACUGGCCUGCCGACCAAGCUGGAAGAUACACACACCCAGAGGACUCUAUGGUAGCACUGGGCAUAAAAAACAUGCCUCCUGGAAGUGUGCCUGCCAGCAUUCUCCGGUUAUUUUAUAAGACAUGGCCUUUCUUGAAUGUAUCUACAGUUCAGAGAAAAUUCAGCCUGCAACUGGAACCCUGAAUUCACUCAGGAAAUGUGGCAGUAAUAUGUGAGACAUAUUUCUGGUUCUGAGCCAGCCUCGUAGGCACAGUAACACCAGGGACUUAAGGUUGAAAAUGUGGUUUCAAUAAGAAUGUUCUCAAGGAAAUGUGUGUAUUGGAGAUAAUUUAGAUCUACGUGGAGACUUGCACAGACCUCUACAAAGCCCUAGGAAGAAUAUCCGAGAUCUGUAUAACAUAAAAACUGUGAGUCUAGUAAAAAGCUCAGAUUCCUUAUUAGAGCCUUUCCUUCUUUGCUCAGUAUUACAGGCUGCCAGAUAGUGUAGUUUCUCUGGAAAAUCUUGAUUUUUAUUAAGGGCUUAUCUAGAACAAAUUAUAUGACAGAUAAAAAAAUUGAAUCAUGAAAUUUUUAACUACUAAGUAGCUUUAGAGUAUAUGUAAAUCAUAAAUUAUUUUAUAUACACAUACACACACACUCUUCACUUAUAAAACACAAAUCAGUAAAUAAUCUUCUCCCUUAUAAAGAACACUAAAAAUUAGUCUAUAACUUCCUGGGGCAAAGCAGAAAUUUUCACAUUUAAAAGGUUUGUGUUAGCUCUCAUAGCUUUAAAAACACAAAACAGACAAACAAAACACUCCAGAUGGUUUUGAGGGGUGUACACUACAAAGCUGAGACAGUAAUAAGAAUCUUUAUCCAGGUGAGGUACAGCACAUAUUCUAUCAACGUUUUUGCCAUUUUCUGUGAGUUUAGGUUUGGCACAUGCGAUCAGAACUCAAUGCCUUUUCGUGUUGCUGUUUUUGGGAAAGAGAAGGAUCUGAUUGUAGUUAGAAGUUUGGCUCCAGAGCAAUGAGAUGUGUUGAACCUCAGAAAAUCUCAGACAGGAAGAUUAGUUCCUCUAUAAGUAUUCAAAGGUUUAUGGACACAAAGCUCAUCUGAACUCUCUAAACCUAUGGAGUCUGCCAAGUUGGCUAGAAUAACUGACAGGAUUGGGCUUUUUCCCAAGCCUUCCAUCACUUUCACUCUGAUCCCUGCCAGAAAUCAAACAAGAAAAAGCCUUUCUUGUCGUGUUUUGACACCCCCUGCUUUAGUCCCUGCUAUAAACUCGGCAUCCAAAUAUUUCAGCAUAUCAACUGAAGGUUGAUAAUAUACAUGGGCAAAGGUUCAAAGGGUGGCUAAGAGCCUGAAAAAGGGUCACUCAACCUUACAUAAAUAACAUACUCCGAGCAUACAUUACAAAGUGACUGAUUCCAGGUCCAGCCAUGUUACCGGAGUGUUUUCCUAUAGCCUGGAUGUCUCCAGUAGCACUAUGCUGGGUGUAAUGUCCAGUUUAAUAGGCAUACUCUAUGGCUGCAAAAAAAUACUAUCUGUAAUGGAAAAUUUUCCUUCUAUGUGAAAGAAAAAGUUUUAGAAAACAAAAACCAGCAUUCAGUAAAUCGGUUAGGUAUGAAUAUUUCCCUAGUCAUGGUAUAUAUUGGUCAUAGAAAAAGCUAACAUUUUUUUCUUUCUUUUUUAUUGAGAUGGGAUCUGCUAAGUUGCCUAGGCUGGUCUUAAGCCCCUGGGGCUCAAAUGAUAUUCCUGUGUAGCUGAGAUUACAGGUGCACAGCACUGCACCCUGCUUUAACAUUUCAUUCUUUAAUUAAACUUUUAACACAUUUUAUACACACUGAUUUCUCAUGUGCACUGCAGCUAUAUUUUAUUUCCUUCCCACUUAAUAUUUGACCUUAGUUUAUCUAAUCUGACAGCUUAAUCCAUAGUUUAAGGAGCUAUAUCUCUGAUUUACCUAAAGGUAAAUAUUGUCAUCAGUUGCUUCUACCACAAGAAUAUAUUGGACUUAAUAUUAUUUCCAUUAUGUUACAAACUAAUGGAUCUCUGCCUUAUCUAGGGUAUUCAGCACCAAGACAGCUAUGGACCACCAUAUAUACACAAUGCAACAUUAUGACCAAAGAUCCCUUUUCAAGUGUUUUCAAAACUGCAGAUUAUAACUGAUAUACUCAUAAAGUCAGUUUAUUGGGUGACAAACAGACAUUUUGAAAGUGAAAUAGAGUAACCUAAACUAGGAUAGAAAACAUCAGAGUUCAUCCUAUGUAGCAUGAGUAACCAAGCAACUGGUGUCAUUAUAGAAUUCUGCAGUAGUUACGUAUGUGUGUGCAUAUAUCCUAGUCAUCAUGUAGAAUGUGUUCUUUCCCAAGAAUCACAGUCCAAAAGUUUGAGAGCCAUUGAUCUAGUGAGGCAUCUAGCUACUCUUGGUUUAAAUUUUUAUUUAUGUCUAUUCUCACCACAGAGGACAGAGUGGGGGACCUUUUCAAAUCUAAGUCAGUCCAGGUUUGCUCAUUUGCUCAGAACCCACCAAUGACUUCCCCCUUUAACUCCCAGGCACUUCUGAGCCAGAAGCUCUCCACUGUCCCCUUCAUGUGCUCAGUCCCAGUCAUGAAUGACUCCACUCUGGUCCUCAAAUGCAUCGGGUGUGAGCCUGCCUCAGCCCUAGCCCAGGUUGUUCUCUUGGCUGGGAUUAUCUUUUCCAAGAUCUGGUUCUUUCUCUCACAUCUUUAAAUCUUGCUUUAAUAUCUCUUUGUGUGUGAGGCCUCCCCUGACUAUCCUAUUUGAAAUUGUGACCAAUGCCCCUGGCUAGCCCUAUGCACCCCCUUCCUCUGCCCUAUUUUUUCAGUGACACUUACCACCAUCCUGUAUGAUUGACUUGUUGUGACAUUUAGUCUCUGUGUCUCUCAACUAAGAAGUGAACUCCAGAAAGACAAGAAUUUCUUCUGUUCAUGCCUAUAGACCUUUGAUACUUAAACCUGUGCAUUCUACAAAGUAAGCACUUAAUUUCUAUUUGUGGAAUUCACUGCAUUUAGGGAAGAACUGCAUUAAAAUCCAUGAACUGGAGCACUUUUCUUUGCCUGCAGGCAAUUGGAGGUGUUAGAGAUCUUCAAACUGUGCCUAAUUCCCAUUAAUUCCAGCUCAUCCCUCUAUUCUGCUAUGGAGUGGAAUUCAUGAGUGUCCGCCGAUGGCUCAUGCUAAGCCGAGAGACUGACUAGAUGAAAGGCACAUAUCAUAGCAAAUAAAUUCACACUUUCUGAUCACCGACAGUGUCCUUUUGUGCUUUAGUCCCCACUGACUUUUGUAGUCUCAUUCCUCAUUUCCCCUGGCUCUUCACAGACUCCACCUGCGUACCCAGAACCUAUUUUCUAGACCCAGUGCAGCAACUGUAGUUGUCUGUCUACACUGUCUUCAUGAUUUCAUACUUUUAAACAUACUAUUCCCAUUGCCUGGUGGGAAUGAGAUUUUCUUGCCCUUUGCCAUUUGCAGAACUUUUAUUUAUUUAUCUAGAAUAGAAACUUUCCCUAAUUUGUGGACCAUUUUCUGGCCUGCCAUCCAGGUGUUCUUGGUGCUCAGGAGACAGCCUGGUUGAGUAGAGAGAGGACAAGGCAAGACGAACCAAACUUUGCUGUAUACUAGCUUUGUGAACUUAGCAAAGUACUUUUGCCUCAGUUUUCUCACCUGUUGAGUGGGAGAAUAGGGCUAUUUUAUGGGGCUGUCUUAAACUUAUUGAAAUGGCAUUGCCAAGCCUGAUGCCAGUGUGUGGCAAUGGUGGGGGGAUGUGUCACUCUCCUCUCCCCUCUUCUGAAACACUGUGUGCACAUCCCUGUCACCACUCAUCCACUCUGGGCAGUUAGUGGUUUAUUUCUCAGUCUCCUAUAAUUGACUGAAGUUCCUGAAAACCAUGACCAGGUUCUACUCAUGUUUGCAUUGCAGGACGCAGCAAAGCUCCAGGCAUAGCACAGGUGCUCAGUCGAUGUUUGUGUAAUAGAAAGGUGAUGACAAUGAAAUUAAUAAUUAUAAAUGGCUAGCAUUUAUUAAGGGCUAUUGAGUCAGUAUGUCACAUGGAUCACCUCUUGUAUUCCUCACAACAAUUCUGCAAGCCUGUGUUCCUUCUUAUUCUCCCCAUCUUACAGAUGAAGUAACUAAUUCUCAGAGAGUUUAAAUAACUUGCCCAAAGGCACAGAGCUCUGAUGGAAUGGAGCUGGAGUUUAAAGCCAGUCAGUGCACUGAAUGAGCUUCAAACUAUAGACCACACCUCUGACUGGAAUUUUCUUAUUUCAGGGGUAAGCCCUUGGUCAAUCCUGAUGCUAUUUCCAUGGUUCCCCACUCUACAUACAAAACAAUCCUGCUGGACAGGCCCAGACAUCUGGCCAAUGGGAACUGGACAAAGCUCCAUCUGGAAGCCAUCAGCACCUCUCACGGGUCAGCUGUGAGAGAUUUUAUUUCAAAUGACCCAAUACAUUUCCUCUGCUUCCCCCUCACAGACAAAUUUGUUGGCUGCACUGUUCUGAUAGUUUAGGGGUAAAGGCCCCACUUAAAUGUCAACUUAAUCUCAAAUCAGUGAGUCCCCAAAUGCUAUUUGCUAUUGUUGGGGCGUAUGUUUCCAUUUUCCAACCAAAUCUACUUCAGAGGCACUCAGAUGGCUUCCAUGGUUUCCAGGUACUAUAGAUCUGAGAGCUGAGAGCUCAGACUGGUCCUAAUUAUGCAUUUUUUUUUCUAUUCAUCUAAACAGCUUAAGGUGGAUUGCCUUAUUGCACACCACUUUUCUGCUUUCAAGAUUAAGAAUUUGAUGGCACAUAUUCCCUCUGCUUCCUAAAACUGACCAUGGGCCUGAAAGUCAGAGAGUCAGAGAUGACCAUGAAUCCCUUGUAGACAAUAUUAAUCACAUCCUUAUACUUCACACUUCACUGGAGAGCAAAAUGAAGGUGGUGGGGCAAGUGGAGCCAUAAUGAAGUAUUUGAUUCCUAUUCCACUGUCAUAACUCAUAGUUAUCAACCCAGCCAGAAAAUCACAACUGAAUACUUAAUAAAACGCAUUCAGAUUCUUUACCCUCAAGAUUCAGAGACUUAAAAAUCAUCAAAGUACACAAACUCCUUAUUCUACUCUUAACAGUAACACUUGUCUUGAUUCUUAUAUUUUAAUAUUCAAAAAUACUUUUUUCAGGAAACAAAACAUCAGAAUCAAAGAUGAAUUUCCUAAGCACCCAGGGAAGCAUCCCUCAAAAUUUCAAAAAUCUUUCUGAUAUAAUCAGGAAGGAAAGCUUUGAGACCAAACACUCUGUCUAUGCAACAACAUACAGUUACAAUAGAAAAUUCAUGUUUAUUUUUCACAUGACUUCUUUUGCUAAUGAAAGCACACAUUUUCCUAAAGCCCUCUUACCCAAAGAAUGUUGUGGCUGCAGUUUUCUUGUAAAAUAUAAUAUGAUUUUUUAAUUAAAAAGUUUUAAAUUUUGCAUACACAUAUACACACACACACCUUGGUUUAUCUCUCCAAAAUCACAUCCUAGAAGUGGAUUUGUGAAUCAAGACAUAUGCACACUUAAGAAAGCACAUCUUUAAUCAAAUGGCCCUCCAGGAAAAUUGUACCAAUCUAUGCAAACAAUAGGAAAUGAACUCCAAUAUUUGAAAUGAGAGAAAUAGUUACAUGGAUAAAUUAUAUUCAAAACAAACAAUAUUUAACACAUAUCUACCAUGUACAACUCCAACUUGUAAGACAAUAGGGUCUAGUUAUCUUGGUUUAACUUUAGAGCUUAAUGGCAUGGGGUGGUUUGUAUUCUCUUGCUUCCCAGAAAAAAGCACUAAGUGUGAUAGGAUCAAUGGUUGCGAUUGCAGGUGUAAGCUGGGACUAAAACUUUCAUCCUCUGUGAUACCCUCCUUAUGCAUCCUGAUUUUCUAGGCCAGUAUAUUUGAUGAUUUCUGGAUAAUCAAAAAUUAUUGAGCAAAUUUAAUGGAAAAAUAUCAUGACUGGUGAAUUUCAGGCUAAAAAAAUAAAGAUAUGUGAUUCCUAUAUAAAAUACCUUGGUAUGUCAGCUUUGUAGGCUUAUAGAAAAUAGUGACUCUCAUUUUAUUCAUUCAGUAGAUAUUUAUUGAGUGCCUACUAGGUAUCAAACACUGUGCUACAGGCUUGAGAUCCAGUGAUGAGCUACAUAACUAUUGUUCAUAGAGUCCGCAUCCAGGUAGCUAUGGAAUCACAAAUGUACCAAUUGCUAUGAAGUACUGUGUGUUAUGACAGGGAAAAAUAGGGGAAUUAGAGCAGAUAAAGAGUAGGGACAUUUCUGGAUAAGUGUCUUUUGAAGGAAGACGAAUUAACCAGAUCAAAGAUGGGAGUUCUGGCAGUUCCUUAAAAGUUUAAUUUUGAGUUACAAUAUGACCUGGCAAUUCCACUCCUAUGUAUGUACCCAAGAAAAAUAAAAACACACCUGCACAAAAUCUUGUACCUGAAAGUUCAUAGCAGUAUUAUUCAUAACAGCUAAAAAGUAAACACAGUUAAUGAAGUGAUAAAUACCAUGUGUUAUUUCUAUACAAUGGAAUAUUAUUUGGUAAUAAAAAGACAUAUACUAUUGAUACAUGAUACAAUGUGGAUAAACCUCAAAAACACUAUGCUAAAUGAAAGAAGCCAGACACAAAGGCCAUGUAUUAUACAGUCCCUUUUAUAUUAAUUGUCUAUGAUAGACAAAUCUGUAAAGACAAAGUAUAAUAGUAGUUGCCUGAGCUUGAGAUGAGGAGGUUGGGGGAAAAUGGAGAGUGACUGCCAAUGGAUACAGAAUUUCUUUUGGGGAUGAUGAAAAUGUUUCAGCAUGGACUCUAAUGAUGGCUUGCACAGCUCUGUGAAUACACUAAAAACCGCUGAAUUUUACAUUUUGAGUGGAUAUAUUGUAUGAGAUGUGAAUUAUAUCUCAAUAAAGCUGUAAUAUUAUAAAAAAAGGAAAGGAAAAAAAGGAGCUACUUCGAGAGAUUCAUUAAUCACAUGUAAGUCCAUUAGUGGAAGCCCGUGAAGAAAGGAGUGGGGGUUGGUUUCCUCUGCCUUGGGCUCCCUGGAAACUCAUUUUCCCAUGGAAAAAAUGAGAAUAAAACUCAUCAAAUUUUACAUCAGUCAAGUCACUUUAUUAUGUGUCAUUUUAGCUGCCAAAAAACACAGGUCGGGCUAACAUGUAAUCAUUGAUCAGCGGACCUUGUUUCUUAUAUGCCUCUCCCUCAUUUUCUGUUUAUAUUAGAUCAUAGCCACAGUGGAGGUUAAGGCGGAGUUACAGGACUUUAAAAUGUACUAAAGUUGUCAGUGAACCUUCUAGCAUACAGUAAAGGCCUGAGUUUUCCUUUGAGUUUUUGUUAAGUUAGUUACUGCCAUGUACGUCAUGGUCAGCAAGCAAUAGUGGCUGAAUAUUGAACCGGGUUUUUUCUAAAGUGAUGAAAGAUCCUCAAGCCAUUGUUGAGUUUUUAAUUUUUUUCGGAUAGUUUAUCCAUUUAACAACCAAGUAUAAUGCUGGGAGGUACAAUUGUACUAAGAAAUUUGGUCCCAGGAGGGGAGAUCCUGGGAAAGAUCCUGGGGAGAUCCUCCAAAAUACAAAGCAAUGGACUAUGGAUAUGAAAUUGCUACAGUCCAAGCAUUUUGGAGGAAAACAGAAGGUCCUUCUAACAGUAGCAAAACUUUUUUGGAUUCUUUUAAAUUUAUAUGCACUGACAUAGGUCAUGGAUUUUGAAUGACUUGUUCAAUCACUGGCAUGAGAUAGGACUGUUCUAAGGAGCUGGAGGUUAUCCUUGCCAAGAUCUCAGUGGGAUAUGGCUCUGUAUUUGAGGUUGAAGUAGAUUCCCUUUGAACUGUCCUAGGAUUUUUCUUUUUUCUUUAUGCAGUUUUUUUUAAAGAAGAGAAAUGUAAAUUGCUUUUCCUUAUGCCUUGAAAAACUUAUUCAAAUAAACUGGAAGGAAAUAUACCAUAAUUUAAAUAGUGGUUAUUUAUAGUUUACAAUAACUUGUUUUGAAAUUUUCUGCAAUGAAGUUUUAUUACAUCUGGGUCAGAGAAAAAAAAUAUGUGCCCUUGAAUUUCUCUAGGAAAGUCAAUUGUUUAUUUGCUUCUUAAUUCAAGAUAGCAUCUGGAAUUCUAGUUGCUCUAAUGCCCUCAGUUUUCUCUUUAUUUAUUACAUCAUACAGCAUGGGUUUUGGAGUCAAACAAACUAAGGUUUAAAUCUCUCCUUUGGCUGACAGAAGAGAACUAAUGUAAGAUGCUGCCUCUUGAUGCCAAAACCAACUCUGGAGAUGAAACAAAAGCAGGACAGGAGUUGAUUGUUCUCAGAUCUUUAAAACUGAAAAAUUCAGGGAGAGACGAAUAUGGAAAGGAAAAGAAACAGCAGGCAGUAGAAGUGGAUCAAGUACCCGAGGGAAGGAAAAUUAGUGGGAAUUCUGCCUCAAGGGGUGCAAAACAGCAGCUGUGGCAGCUGGGGUGAACAGAGAACAUUAAGGUCAGUCUUGCCUUCCUUCCACCCCAGGUCCUUACGGCAGAGAAAAGGUUGAUCUUUCUCAGGCAAAUGUAAGGGCAAGUUCCCUUAGGGAUAAGGGAAAUGGAAGGAGGUGGGCCUAGGUUGUAACUUUCUAGGUUUCUCACUUGAACUAUACCCCCACAGUGAAACUACUCUGUAUGGCAUUAUAGUAAUGAACGCAUGUCGUUAUGCACUUGUCCAAACCCACAGAGUACACAGCACCAAUGGUGAACCCUAAUAUAAACUCUGAAGGGUGGGUGAUAAUGACGUGUCAGUGUAGGUCCAUCAGCUGCAAAUGGACCACUGUGUGCCUGAUAGCAGGGAAGGCUGUGUAUGUGUGGGAACAGGCAGGAUACGGAAACUCUCUAUACUUUCUGCUCCACUUUGUUUGAACCUCAAACUGCUCUAAAAAGUAACGUUUACUAGUUUUAAAAGACAUAAGGGUUUAUUCAAUAAUUUGAAUAUUGUUUAAUAUAAAAUUUAUCAAUUUACCCUCC
Molecule: long non-coding RNA, 12770 nt
Organism: Homo sapiens (human)
Lineage: Eukaryota; Metazoa; Chordata; Mammalia; Primates; Hominidae
Exons: 3
Source: RefSeq, a predicted model, not a curated record